GUGCACCAGGCGCGAAACCUCCGCAAUGCGCGAAAGCGCGACGGGGUCACCCCCAGUGCCGCCCGCUAAGGGCGGCUUUUCCCCGGUGUAAGGAGCCGGGGGCAAUAAGCGGGGGGCAAGCCUGGUGUCAGCCGCCGCGGUAAUACCAGCCCCGCGAGUGGUCGGGACGUUUAUUGGGCCUAAAGCGUCCGUAGCCGGCCCAAUAAGUCCUCGGCUAAAUCCCACGGCUCAACCGUGGGACGGCCGAGGAUACUGUUGGGCUAGGGGGGCGGGAGAGGCCGAGGGUACUCCCGGGGGUAGGGGCGAAAUCCUAUAAUCCCGGGAGGACCACCAGUGGCGAAGGCGCUCGGCUGGAACGCGCCCGACGGUGAGGGACGAAAGCCGGGGGAGCGAAGGGGAUUAGAUACCCCGGUAGU
RNAcentral lists this ribosomal RNA (416 nucleotides) under uncultured microorganism. RNAcentral's name for it is "bacterial SSU rRNA". It matches the Rfam family "Archaeal small subunit ribosomal RNA", at positions 330 to 745 of the family's 1478-position model. The record is from RNAcentral.